RNAcentral lists this long non-coding RNA (1149 nucleotides) under Medicago truncatula (barrel medic). RNAcentral describes it as "long non-coding RNA (MTRU_LNC008196)". The record is from RNAcentral. Lineage: Eukaryota; Viridiplantae; Streptophyta; Magnoliopsida; Fabales; Fabaceae.
UGUUUAAAAGUGUUAACACAUGUUGAUACUUAGACAUUAAGCAUGUGGAGACAUUUUUGACAUACGAAGAUAUAAAGGCCUAUAAGUAUUACACAUGUGAUAAUCAUUUCUAAAAUGGUAGACAUAUAAGACAUGCAUGUUAGUCAAGUGAUCAUGAAAGGAUAGAAUAAAUAAUGUAUGAUCAUUACUUAUAAACAAAAAUUGACAUUUUAGUUUCAUUCAAUAAAUAAUGUAUGUGGUCUUUAAUAUAGACCGCAUAUAUAAUUUAUUGAAAUGAACAUAAAAUGUUAAAUUUUGUUUAUAUUAAUGAUCGAAGGGUGUACUAUGAAAUGACAUGUUAGCAUAAUCAUUCACACACUCAAUUUUGAAUGAUGAUGAUUCAAGUAUGGCUCUUGCACUUAUCAUGAUGCAUGAAAUUUUGUUCAAUGACACUUUCACGUAUUUACUUUCCCAUGGUAACUUCUUCCGCACAUUUACACAUAAUUUCUCACAAUACAACACACAGUGUAAUAAACGUAUGGGAUUGAGCUUACUAGUACCGCUAAUCUAAACACUACGAAAAGAACGUGGUUUGUGCUCUUGCAAAUUUGGGUACUUUAAACCCUCUUCGGCUUACUCGACUUACACCAAAAUUUCUUUAGGCGACACAAAAAGUUGCGCGGUAUCUCCGGAUAAUCGAAUUGCACUCUCAAUAUCACUUAGAAAAUUUCUCCUCACCGUACUUCCAUGAUAUUGAUAAUCCUAAACCGCACCGAUGAAUAAUAGAAAGUUAAGUAAAUGUUGUGAGGAGUGUUUUUGACCAUUUGAGGGUUAUUCAUGACCAAGAGAUUGAUUAACUUAAAACUUUAAUGGCGAUUUUAGAAGAGAAUGAGAUCAUGAAAGUUAGGGUUUUUGGAGUGAAAUUUGUGUAGGUAAUUUUUUAGACAAAGGGUUGAUUGAUCUUCACAAGGUAUUACAUGGUUGUAAGUUUUAUAUGAAAAAUGAAGAGGGUUUCAAGGCUGAUCUUCAUAAAUAAUUGUCUAUCAAGCAACUUAACUUAAGAUUCAUGCUUUUCAUUUGUGUAUGACUUUUUGCGAGUUGGAUUUUAAAGAAAAGGUUUGUGAUGAUCAAACCUAUUUUUUUCAUGUAUAUUUGAUAUUUUAAAAAAUA